UACGAGGAGAGCAAGCGUUAUCCGGAUUUAUUGGGCGUAAAGCGUGCGCAAGCGGUUUAGCAAGUGAGAUGUUAAAGCCCAAAGCUCAACUUUGGAAUCGCAUCUCAUACUGCUAGACUAGAAGCAAGAAGAGGCAAACGGAAUUCCCGGUGUAGUAGUGAAAUGCGUUGAUAUCGGGAGGAACACCAAAAGCGAAAGCAGUUUGCUGGUCUUGUCUUGACGCCGAGGAGCGAAAGCGUGGGGAGCGAACAGG
Molecule: ribosomal RNA, 253 nt
Filed under: uncultured bacterium
Lineage: Bacteria
Description: partial 16S ribosomal RNA
Rfam family: Bacterial small subunit ribosomal RNA
Source: RNAcentral